This 253-nucleotide ribosomal RNA is filed under the name uncultured bacterium. Its description in RNAcentral is "partial 16S ribosomal RNA". It matches the Rfam family "Bacterial small subunit ribosomal RNA", at positions 524 to 776 of the family's 1533-position model. The record is from RNAcentral.
UACGGGGGGGGCAAGCGUUGUUCGGAAUUACUGGGCGUAAAGGGCUUGUAGGUGGCCAACUAAGUCAGACGUGAAAUCCCUCGGCUUAACCGGGGAACUGCGUCUGAUACUGGAUGGCUUGAGUGUGGGAGAGGGAUGCGGAAUUCCAGGUGUAGCGGUGAAAUGCGUAGAUAUCUGGAGGAACACCGGUGGCGAAGGCGGCAUUCUGGACCGACAUUGACGCUGAGGAGCGAAAGCCAGGGGAGCAAACGGG